This 519-nucleotide ribosomal RNA is filed under the name uncultured bacterium. RNAcentral's name for it is "bacterial SSU rRNA". It matches the Rfam family "Bacterial small subunit ribosomal RNA", at positions 524 to 1050 of the family's 1533-position model. The record is from RNAcentral.
UACGUAGGACCCGAGCGUUGUCCGGAAUUACUGGGUAUAAAGGGUGCGUAGGCGGGUUGGUACGUCAGAGGUUAAAGACUGCAGCUUAACUGCAGCGUUGCCUUUGAAACGGCUGAUCUUGAAUAUGAGAGAGGAUGAUAGAAUUCCUGGUGUAGCGGUGAAAUGCGUAGAUAUCAGGAGGAAUACCGGUGGCGAAGGCGGUCAUCUGGCUCAUUAUUGACGUUGAGGCACGAAAGCGUGGGUAGCGAACAGGAUUAGAUACCCUGGUAGUCCACGCCCUAAACGAUGUAUGCUUGGUGUUGGUUUUAUAAUCAGUGCCGUAGGAAAUCUGUUAAGCAUACCACCUGGGGAGUACGAUCGCAAGUUUGAAACUCAAAGGAAUUGACGGGGGCCCGCACAAGCGGUGGAUUAUGUGGUUUAAUUCGAUGCAACGCGAAGAACCUUACCAGGGUUUGAAUAGUAAAGGAAUGAUGCAGAAAUGUAUCAGUUUUCGGACCUUUAUAUAGGUGCUGCAUGGCU